Molecule: ribosomal RNA, 407 nt
Filed under: uncultured bacterium
Lineage: Bacteria
Description: partial 16S ribosomal RNA
Rfam family: Bacterial small subunit ribosomal RNA
Source: RNAcentral
AUUGAACGCUGGCGGCAGGCCUAACACAUGAAAGUCGAGCGGAGCGGCGGACGGGUGAGGAAUACCUAGGAAUCUGCCUGGUAGUGGGGGAUAACGUGCGGAAACGGACGCUAAUACCGCAUACUAGCAGAUGAGCCUAGGUCUGCUUAGCUAGUUGGGGAGGUAAUGGCUCACCAAGGCAACGAUCCGUAACUGGUCUGAGAGGAUGAUCAGUCACACUGGAACUGGGACACGGUCCAGACUCCUACGGGAGGCAGCAGUGGGGAAUAUUGGACAAUGGGCGAAAGCCUGAUCCAGCCAUGCCGCGUGUGUGAAGAAGGUCUUCGGAUUGUAAAGCACUUUAAGUUGGGAGGCGUUACCGACAGAAUAAGCACCGGCUAACUCUGUGCCAGCAGCCGCGGUAAUAC